AUGCCCAAGAGAACUCUCUACAGGAUGAGCCUGUGCACUAGAGAAGGGGUUACAGAGGCUACGGCCAGAGGAAGCUUUGUGACAGCUGCGCCUAGGGAGAGUCUUCACGACCCCUGUGCUUGGAGAAUGUACGACCGAAGGAGAGGCUGGGUACAAUUUACCAGCAGAACCCUACAGAGGAAAAGACCACAACCACAGACAAAGGAGACCAGGAAGCAGAGAAAUCCUGAGGACAAGGCCCAUGUACACCAGCAGUCUGCUGUUUGUGACCAAAAUGACCAUUUGGAGACAUCAAACAACCAGUCCUCAACCAGCAACUGACCAGUAAUUUGUCCUAUUGGUCAAAUUACUUUUGCAUGUUUAGAUCUUGCCUCAGAAGAUUUUGUGGUCUAGCAGAUGGCUUCAGGAAAAUCACGUCUACUUUACACACGGAAGUAGACGUUUUACAAAAUAUUUUAAUUAUAUUUUCUUAUCAUAAAAAUAAUAUGAGAAUUUUAUUAGAAAUUAGAAAAUGUAGGGGUGCCUGGGUGGCUCAGCCGGUUGAGUGUCUGCCUUUGGCUCAGGUCAUGAUCCCAGGGUCCUGAGAUUGAGCCCCGCAUCAGGCUCUCUGCUCAGCAGGGAGUCUACUUCUUCCUCUCAUUCUCCCUCUGCUCUGUCUCUCAACUAAAUAAAUAAAAUCUUUAAAAAAAAAUUAAAGACUAGAAAAUACAAAGAAAAGAAAGAAAAUAAAUCCCUCAUAAUCCUUACCUUUAGUAAUAUCCCUUAUUAACAUAAUUGUUUUUCCUUGCAAUUAGUGGUUUCUUCUAAUCUUCUCCCUCUGUACAGAUAUAUAGCAUACGGUAUGUAUUUUUUAUUCCUGCUUUUUUCCCAUAAAAUUAUAUGAUAAGCUUUCCCAUGUCACUCAAUAUCCUUUGAAAACUACGCUAAGGACUGCAUAAAAUUCCAUUCUGACAAUGAACCAUCAUUAUGUAACUGUUCUCCUGGUAUCAGACAUUUAAGCUGUUUCUAUGUUUCAAAAAUAAAAAUGUCAUGAAAAAAAAAAGAGACAAUCAGCCCUAGAUAUCUCCUGAUCAAAGCACACAUCAGCACCUAUGAAGAAUGCCUGUCAAAAAAUUGAACUUGAAUCUGAUAAGGUCUCUAGAUCUAACCUCCAAUUUAUUAGAAAUGAGUGACAGAGGAACACAUGAGUGACAUUAUGACACCAGAAAAAUCUGGGUUCCAGGAAACUACAG
Molecule: long non-coding RNA, 1232 nt
Filed under: Canis lupus familiaris (dog)
Lineage: Eukaryota; Metazoa; Chordata; Mammalia; Carnivora; Canidae
Description: lncRNA (ENSCAFG00030014441.1)
Source: RNAcentral